Molecule: long non-coding RNA, 1182 nt
Filed under: Bos grunniens (domestic yak)
Lineage: Eukaryota; Metazoa; Chordata; Mammalia; Artiodactyla; Bovidae
Description: lncRNA (ENSBGRG00000006384.1)
Source: RNAcentral
GGGUGGGAAAACUGAUGUGGCUGUGACCCUAGCUUUGGCCUUGAAGUGAUUAUGAAUGGAGGAAGAAAUUUGACUCUCCAAAUGACCACAUGGAGCUCAACAGGCAUCCUCCCCACUCAAGGCAAAUCUUUCAAUCAUCUGGAAAAUCCUCUAAUGCAGAACACCUUGACAGAGAACUGCAGUGUUUUCAUCUCACACAUGAAAAGAGAAAGGGGUCUCCAGCGUGUGGAAGGUGGGAAGUUCCAUGUAUUGGCCGAGAGGAGGUGCGUGCGCAAGGAGGGGAGACGCAAGUGGUCUCCUGUCAUUCUGCGCGCCGGCUUUCAGGCAGCUCUGGAGGCGCGUGUCGCGCUCCUGAAACCCUCAGAUGGUGAUUAUGACCGAUUACACAAGAUGCCAUGUUCCCUAAUCAUAUCACUUACAUCGCUGUGAACAGCGGUGACAAGGGUUUGAAGGGAGAAGAUCACAGCUGUCUAAUAAAAAAAAAAAAAUCAGGCAAACCAGACAGUGCUUCAGCCAGGAGAACAGGGUGGGAGUCUUGGCGUGAUGGGGUUCUGCCCUCUCUCUAACGCAGCUUAACCCCCGGCCAUCCUCUUGUUUCCAGAGCCCCUUGAUUACAUCAUGACGGGCAUUGGGCAGGUGUGGCUCAUACACUGAGUUCAUUUAUUUACCGUAUUAGCUCCCUGCUCUGUGAAGUGAUCAUUGUCACUGGGGUAACUUUGGAGUCUGUCGCCGCCGGAAUCGAAACGGCUCAUGUGAAUCAAAGACAAGUGCCAUGGACAUACCCCUCCUGGCUCUUCUCUGAAGCGCCCUCAGCUUAAGACACCACCUCUCCAUUCGGCCACUCCGUUUUUAAUCUGCCUUCAAAGAGAAAGCCAACUGUCUUGAAUUAAACACAAAAUGGUUCUUGAAGGCGUGUGUGAUGAAAGUGAUUAAAUAAUUAAUUCAAACAAAGGUGACUUCUGAGUCAGGUUGGGGGGUCAGGAAAAAAAGAAAAAGUCUUGAUUUGAAGCAGCGUUUACUUAGCAUACUAUGGAGAAAAAUAUUUAACAUGAUAUGAAAUGACCAUGCUGGAGAAUAUUAACCUGUCUCCUUUGCUUCCGUCGCUCCAGGCACAUUGGCCUCUUACUGAUCCUUGAACAGACCAAGGCUAUUUCCCUCUACCUCAGGGACUUUGGACUUUCU